AACGAACGCUGGCGGCAUGCCUAAUACAUGCAAGUCGAACGAGAUCUUCGGAUCUAGUGGCGCACGGGUGCGUAACGCGUGGGAAUCUGCCCUUGGGUUCGGAAUAACUUCGGGAAACUGAAGCUAAUACCGGAUGAUGACGUAAGUCCAAAGAUUUAUCGCCCAAGGAUGAGCCCGCGUAGGAUUAGCUAGUUGGUGGGGUAAAGGCCUACCAAGGCGACGAUCCUUAGCUGGUCUGAGAGGAUGAUCAGCCACACUGGGACUGAGACACGGCCCAGACUCCUACGGGAGGCAGCAGUAGGGAAUAUUGGACAAUGGGGGCAACCUUGAUCCAGCAAUGCCGCGUGAGCGAUGAAGGCCUUAGGGUUGUAAAGCUCUUUUACCCGAGAUGAUAAUGACAGUAUCGGGAGAAUAAGCCCCGGCUAACUCCGUGCCAGCCGCCGCCGUAA
Molecule: ribosomal RNA, 449 nt
Filed under: uncultured bacterium
Lineage: Bacteria
Description: partial 16S ribosomal RNA
Rfam family: Bacterial small subunit ribosomal RNA
Source: RNAcentral